This 950-nucleotide ribosomal RNA is filed under the name Salmonella enterica subsp. enterica serovar Schwarzengrund. Its description in RNAcentral is "partial 23S ribosomal RNA". It matches the Rfam family "Bacterial large subunit ribosomal RNA", at positions 201 to 1191 of the family's 2925-position model. Lineage: Bacteria; Pseudomonadati; Pseudomonadota; Gammaproteobacteria; Enterobacterales; Enterobacteriaceae. The record is from RNAcentral.
UCUAAGUACCCCGAGGAAAAGAAAUCAACCGAGAUUCCCCCAGUAGCGGCGAGCGAACGGGGAGGAGCCCAGAGCCUGAAUCAGCAUGUGUGUUAGUGGAAGCGUCUGGAAAGGCGCGCGAUACAGGGUGACAGCCCCGUACACAAAAGCGCAUGUGCUGUGAGCUCGAUGAGUAGGGCGGGACACGUGGUAUCCUGUCUGAAUAUGGGGGGACCAUCCUCCAAGGCUAAAUACUCCUGACUGACCGAUAGUGAACCAGUACCGUGAGGGAAAGGCGAAAAGAACCCCGGCGAGGGGAGUGAAAAAGAACCUGAAACCGUGUACGUACAAGCAGUGGGAGCACCCUUUGGGGUGUGACUGCGUACCUUUUGUAUAAUGGGUCAGCGACUUAUAUUCUGUAGCAAGGUUAACCGAAUAGGGGAGCCGGAGGGAAACCGAGUCUUAAUUGGGCGUUAAGUUGCAGGGUAUAGACCCGAAACCCGGUGAUCUAGCCAUGGGCAGGUUGAAGGUUGGGUAACACUAACUGGAGGACCGAACCGACUAAUGUUGAAAAAUUAGCGGAUGACCUGUGGCUGGGGGUGAAAGGCCAAUCAAACCGGGAGAUAGCUGGUUCUCCCCGAAAGCUAUUUAGGUAGCGCCUCGUGAAUUCAUCUCCGGGGGUAGAGCACUGUUUCGGCUAGGGGGCCAUCCCGGCUUACCAACCCGAUGCAAACUGCGAAUACCGGAGAAUGUUAUCACGGGAGACACACGGCGGGUGCUAACGUCCGUCGUGAAGAGGGAAACAACCCAGACCGCCAGCUAAGGUCCCAAAGUCAUGGUUAAGUGGGAAACGAUGUGGGAAGGCCCAGACAGCCAGGAUGUUGGCUUAGAAGCAGCCAUCAUUUAAAGAAAGCGUAAUAGCUCACUGGUCGAGUCGGCCUGCGCGGAAGAUGUAACGGGGCUAAACCAUG